Long non-coding RNA from Passer domesticus (house sparrow), 3763 nucleotides. RefSeq lists it as uncharacterized. Lineage: Eukaryota; Metazoa; Chordata; Aves; Passeriformes; Passeridae. The transcript has 3 exons. The record is from RefSeq and is a predicted model, not a curated record.
CUGACAGGUUUUAAACUGAAAUGGGAGACAUUAAACUGACACUUAUUUGCCUUCUGUCUAGUGGAAUCUAGUGGAAGAUUAAUAUUUUGGUUGAGAAUAUAUUUUAUGCUAAAUACAAUAUUUUACUAGGCUUGAAAAUAUAGAAGAGUUUAAAUGUUUUGCUUUUUAGGUUUUAUGUGCAAUAAAAUGAUGACUGGUAUCAAAUAGGUGUAAUUUAAUUUUUAUGUGACUGUUUCUCCCUCUCCAAUUCUCAAAUAAAAUGCUCAGCACCUUUUAAAAAGCCCACCUGCACUAAGAGACUGCUUUUUGUUAGCCUCCAGAGCACUAGUUUUAAUUUGUUAACAGGAAAAUAUCUUUUGAAGGAGGAUUAUACAAGCUGAGAGAUGUUUUUAGAAUGGGAGAGAGAAAGUGAAAUUGAACUCCUGGAAACAGACUCAAGCACAGGAUAAAUAAGUGCAGCCUUAACCAUGCAUCCUCUUCUGCAAUAUGGUUAAAUUCUGCCUAUCUUCCUUGCUGCACGGGGAGGUCCUUCAGCCAGACCAUCCUGCUGCCCACUGUGCUGCAGCUAGCAGGAAAAAACAGAAUUGCUAAUGCUCUUUGUAAGGGUGGUUUAGAUUCUUUCAACCAUUUGGUCCUGCUUGUAGGAAUCCCUCUGGCAGAUCUUGUUCUUAAUUCAGCCCAAGGUGACCUUCCUCCCCUACUUUGCUAGCCACCAGGUCCAGGACUCUGUACAGAGAGGAGCCUAAACACAGAUAUGUGGAAAUGCAGGUGAGGGAGUUGUUCUCAGAGUUCAACAAAGGGAGCCUGGUCUGCUCCUGGAGCCCCCCUUUGAGGGCUACAAAGGGCAGCAACUUCACUGUGGGGCCUCCAGUGGCCAUGGCCAUGAAAUAAAGUCACAGAAGGGGACAAGAGGCAAGAUGCCAGCCUCUCCUUCAGGACCCUCUGAGGAUGGCUCAGCACUAUUACUUGUCAGCCUUGAUAAUCUCUGAGAACAGGAAGAUUCCUCUGCAGAGUUAAAACAUCUAAUUCCUUUCAUAGAUUUUCUUCUGAAAAGCUUCUGCUAUACAGCUAUGGCAGCAUUGUGUUACUUGUAUAUUACCUGUUUUUCUAACAUGAGGCUUUGCUGAAUGAAGUGUAUUUCCAUGCUCUUUGAACAGUACAAAUCUGGAAGCCACCUUUUUUAUUCUCAAAGGAUAUAAACCCCCACAACUCUUACCAAUAUAAAUAAGGUUUCAAAUAGGAUUUAAAGGUUGCUGAACUGAGCUUAUAGCAAACUACAAAUAGUAAAAAAAAAAACAACCAAAAAAAAAAAACCAAAAAAACUUACCUUUUUUUUGCUGUUUAAAUGGCUCAAGUAGACCAUCUGCCUCUGAAACAGCUCGUGUAUUUCUGCUUCUGGAACUGCUCAUGUAUUUUUGGAUUUGGUUACAAACUGACCACAGCAUUGCAAACAGCACUCAUCUGCAGAGAUAUCUGUUUUUAUACACAACAUGAGACUGGCAAGAGAGAUGUGUCUAAUCAGUGUUUUAGAAGUCAGACAGGAGUGGUAUGACUCCAGCUGGCACAGCCAUGUCCUUGUAAUUUCACUUCACUACCACUUAAUUUGUAUAAAAUUGGGACAAUUUUAAAUGGAUGUUACCAUAAUGGGAGAAUCUAAUGAAUUCCUAGUUUAGGGAAAAAUAAAACUGUCCAUCUAAGGUGACUUCACUUUAGCCUCCUGUGAGUCACAUGGGAUGUGGAAUUACAGCAUUUGUUGUUGAGCAGAAUUAUGGAUGAGGCCCAAGACUAACUGACAGCUCAGUUAUUUCUUCCUGAUGCAUUUCAUUAAUAGCCCCUGCACCUCUCACCUCCACCAAAUCGGCAGCUAGUGAGGUGCCUGUAAGAGGCUAAUUGCCUCCAGAGUCAAUUGUCCUGGAGCCAAUUGUUAAUCUCCUGGUGUUAAUUGCCAAAAUUAGGGGAAUUCAGGGUAGGCAGGAGGCACGGGAGCUGCAUGCAUAUUAGAGCUGUGUAGCAAAAUGCAGGUGUUCAACUGUGCUCCAUGACACCACAGCAGAACAUAGAGAGUUGGAAACAUAAUGAGGCACAAUGGGAAGAAAACAGAAAUCUUCUGCGGCUACUGUGUAUUGUAAUGGCCAUUUUGCAAUCUAGUGACAACAAUUAAGUUAGCUUACAAAUUCCAGUCUGGAAAUUGCCUGCAUGACUCAAAGGGCUGAGAAACAUUUGAAAAAAUAGCCCUGAAGAUUUUUUCAAUGCUGGUGACACGAGUGGGAAAAUGAAAUUUUAAAAAAAAGGAGGAGUUCCAUAUCUUCUGGGCAAUCUGAAACACUGAGUUACAUAACAUCAAAUCAAAGCAACAAAGUUGCAGGUAUUUUAGGGGAAUCUCUUGGGUGGAAUGGAGAGGAGACCCUCUUACAAGGGAGCUUCUCUCAGUGUUCCCAAAAGUGCAGUGAAGCGCUGUCACAAGCCGCUGCUUGCUGCCCAAAGAGAAAGGCAAUCUCCUAGCACACUGCAGGGCAUUCCCUCCUCCAUGAGGAUGAAAGCCUCUGAGAUCAGCAGCACUCAGAAACACAGCGGUGCCUGCCUGCACUUGAGGACCUGUCAGUGCACUUUCACCACCAUGGCUUGUAUGCCUUGAGGAGGACUCUCUGCCUUCAGCGCUGGAGCCUGGGGUCAGCCUUCAGAGGCAGGAGCUCUGCAGGAAGCAGCCAGCCUGAGGAGAACCAGAAGCACUACUGCUGCUGCUGAGAACUUCUGCAGCAAGGGAUGGUGUUGUUCUCCAGCCUCCAGCCUGGGAUUUGUGCCAGUGGCACAGAAUGCUACUGUUUGGUUCUGUAAAGUCUCAAACCUCAUUUCAGUAAAAGUUGUGUUAAUGUGUAUCCAAGCUGUGCACACACUACUAAAAUCCACUUCUCUAAAGUGCUUUAUGAUCAUGGUUUAUAUUCUCCUUAGAAUGAAUCACAGAUGUUUUGUUGUUUGGGUUUUUUUUUUCCCUUUAAUCCCAUCAGUUACAUGGUGGGUGAGCACACUGUGGUGUGAACUAGGUCUGUUUAAUUUUUUACUUCACAAACUGGUAGUUAUAGGGGAAAAGGAGGGGAAGAAUGAUAUAAUCUUCCUUCGUGUGUCUGGACUACAAACCUACUUCCUCAGUGUCUUGAACUUAUGUGUCCAGGUCUUGGCAGCAGGAAGGCUGUGAGAAGAAAUCAGGGCCUGGCCCCAUCCCAGAUACAGCUGGCUCUAAAACACACCCACUGCUGUCCAAAGCUGAGUCUACCAGUGAGGCUGGUGGCACCUUGAUGGAAAAGUGUUGAAGAAAGGGUAAAACAUGCUGUGUAGAAGUUGUGAUAGAGAGAGGAAUGAGGCAAACUCCCCCAACAAAAUAAUAGCUGUGCAGGCAGCAAGGUCAAGGAAAAAAGAGAGGGAGGAGGUGCUCCAAGCACUGGAGCAGAGGUCAGCCCAUGGAGAAAGCUGUGCUGAGACAGGCUGUCCUCCUGCAGCCCCUGGAGGAUCAUGUCAGAGCAGAUAUCCACUGUGCAAGACCCUGUGCUGAAGUGUGAGGAGGAAGGGCAGGCAGAAAGGAACUGUUUUAUGGACUGACCACAAACCCCAUCCCUCCAUCCCCUUGUGCUGCUUGGGGGAGAGGGAGGCAGAAGAGUCAGGAGGUUGAGCUGGGAGGAAUGGGAUUUGGGGUGAAGGUGAGGUUAUUUUUCUGGAUUUUAUUGGGGUUUGGGGUUUUUUUGUCAUUGGUUUGUUUGGUUUUUUUGUU